This 335-nucleotide unclassified non-coding RNA is filed under the name soil metagenome. RNAcentral's name for it is "partial contains 5.8S ribosomal RNA, internal transcribed spacer 2, and large subunit ribosomal RNA". The stretch from base 1 to 121 matches the Rfam family "5.8S ribosomal RNA", at positions 35 to 154 of the family's 154-position model. The record is from RNAcentral.
GAUGAAGAACGGUAGCGAAAUGCGAUAAGUAAUGUGAAUUGCAGAAUUCAGUGAAUCAUCGAAUCUUUGAACGCACAUUGCGCCCGCCAGUAUUCUGGCGGGCAUGCCUGUUCGAGCGUCAUUUCAACCAUCAAGCCCUGCUUGCGUUGGGGUCCUGCGGCUGCCCGCAGGCCCUGAAAACCAGUGGCGGGCUCGCUAGUCACACCGAGCGCAGUAAUACAUCUCGCUUUGGGCGUGCGGCGGGUUCUUGCCGUUAAACACCCCCUUUUUACCAAGGUUGACCUCGGAUCAGGUAGGAAUACCCGCUGAACUUAAGCAUAUCAAUAAGCGGAGGA